Molecule: long non-coding RNA, 558 nt
Filed under: Octopus sinensis (East Asian common octopus)
Lineage: Eukaryota; Metazoa; Mollusca; Cephalopoda; Octopoda; Octopodidae
Description: uncharacterized LOC118765660, transcript variant X1
Source: RNAcentral
GGGCUGUUUUGAGUAGUAUAAUCUUCUGAACUGCAUAGCUACUGAUGUUGCCUGGAAUAUGGUUGAUGAACUUUUCCAUUCCCUUUUUCUUAAUAAUAAUAAUAAUAAUAAUAAUAAUUAUUAUUAUUAUUAAGUAGUGGAAUGAUGGCUGUCAUGCUGUGUUUAGUUAUGUCUCCAACUUUGCAGGGUUUUGUCUCCUUUUGAAGUUGUUGUUGUUACUGUUGAACCCCGGUCCAGCCUUGACUGAACGAACCUAUGAUUGAUCAAAGACAUUCCAACAAUGGCCAUCCCAUCUUUUACCAAAGCACAAUGUACCUAAGCCUACAUUAGUCAAUAUAGCACUUGUGUUUUUUUUUUUUUUAAAAGACACUAGGGUGUGAUUUGAGGGAGAUUAUAUACUUAUUAUGUAGCAGAGUGCAAAGAGCUAGAACAAACGCUGUAAAGCAUUUUUUUCUGACGUUCUACUCACAUGUGUUUUCUGACAUUCUACUCAUGAAUACACACACACAAACAGACACAGAUGCAUGUACAUACACAACAUAUUAAAAUAAAUUUAUU